Molecule: ribosomal RNA, 253 nt
Filed under: uncultured bacterium
Lineage: Bacteria
Description: partial 16S ribosomal RNA
Rfam family: Bacterial small subunit ribosomal RNA
Source: RNAcentral
GACAGAGGGUGCAAACGUUGUUCGGAAUUACUGGGCGUAAAGCGUGUGUAGGUGGCUGUGCAAGUCGGAUGUGAAAGCCCUGGGCUCAACUCAGGAAGUGCACCCGAUACUGCAUAGCUAGAGUACCGGAGAGGUUGGUAGAAUUCUCGGUGUAGAGGUGAAAUUCGUAGAUAUCGAGAGGAAUACCUGUGGCGAAGGCGGCCAACUGGACGAGUACUGACACUGAGACACGAAAGCGUGGGGAGCAAACAGG